This 264-nucleotide ribosomal RNA is filed under the name uncultured archaeon. Its description in RNAcentral is "partial 16S ribosomal RNA". It matches the Rfam family "Archaeal small subunit ribosomal RNA", at positions 714 to 982 of the family's 1478-position model. The record is from RNAcentral.
AGACGUCUACAUUAGAUACCCCCGUAGUCCCAGCCGUAAACUAUGCGCGUUAGGUGUAUCGGUGACCACGAGUUACCGAGGUGCCGAAGGGAAACCGUGAAACGUGCCGCCUGGGAAGUACGGUCGCAAGGCUGAAACUUAAAGGAAUUGGCGGGGAGCACCACAACAGGUAGAGCCUGCGGUUUAAUUGGACUCAACGCCGGGAAGCUCACCGGAUAGGACAGCAGAAUGAUUGCCGGGCUGAAGACCCUGCAUGACUAGCUG